RNAcentral lists this ribosomal RNA (482 nucleotides) under uncultured bacterium. Its description in RNAcentral is "partial 16S ribosomal RNA". It matches the Rfam family "Bacterial small subunit ribosomal RNA", at positions 30 to 507 of the family's 1533-position model. The record is from RNAcentral.
AUUGAACGCUGGCGGCAUGCUUUACACAUGCAAGUCGAACGGUAACAGGCCGCAAGGUGCUGACGAGUGGCGCACGGGUGAGUAAUGCAUCGGAACGUGACCAGUCGUGGGGGAUAACUAUUAGAAAGAGUAGCUAAUACCGCAUACGAUCUAUGGAUGAAAGCGGGGGACCGAAAGGUCUAGCGCGGUUGGAGCGGCCGAUGUCAGAUUAGGUAGUUGGUGGGGUAAAGGCUCACCAAGCCAACGAUAUGUAGCUGGUCUGAGAGGACAAACAGCCACACUGGAACUGAGACACGGCCCAGACUCCUACGGGAGGCAGCAGUGGGGAAUUUUGGACAAUGGGCGCAAGCCUGAUCCAGCAAUGCCGCGUGCAGGAAGAAGGCCUUCGGGUUGUAAACUUCUUUUGUACGGAACGAAACGGCGCUGGUUAAUACCCGGGGCUAAUGACGGUACCGUAAGAAUAAGCACCGGCUAACUACGUG